This 77-nucleotide transfer RNA is filed under the name Desulfomonile tiedjei. RNAcentral's name for it is "tRNA-Met". It matches the Rfam family "tRNA". Rfam says of the family: Transfer RNA (tRNA) molecules are approximately 80 nucleotides in length. The record is from RNAcentral. Lineage: Bacteria; Pseudomonadati; Thermodesulfobacteriota; Desulfomonilia; Desulfomonilales; Desulfomonilaceae. RNAcentral also lists the same sequence under 6 other names.
CGCGGGGUGGAGCAGCCAGGUAGCUCGUUGGGCUCAUAACCCAAAGGUCGGAGGUUCAAAUCCUCCCCCCGCUACCA